CCUAGUAUAUUUCUGACAGAGUAUGAAGUGACAGACGCUCUCUGUGAUCUCUUGGCCUUGCAGCGGCCUCGAGCUGAUGUCAUCAGUGCUGGUCAUUCAGUCCAGUCUGACCUGAGUCAGCCUCAGCUGUAUUACACUGACUAUACGAGUCUUUGUGACGAUGCCACAUGAACACGUUUCUGUAAAUGUGGUGGGACUUAAACUCAGGUAAAUCCAGGAAAUACAGCCAGUACAGUGAACGUUAUUCAGAGUGUGAAGUGAACCUGUGUUACUGUUACAGAUCCGGCUGUGUGACCGCCAACGGGACGUAACAGGAAGAUCUUCAGAAGGCGGUGUGGACGAACAUGUGUCUGUCAGAAGAUGGAGAGUUUGGAUCGAGAUGCACCAAGAGAGUCUCCUGUGUCCCCAGGCAUCUUCGAUGAGCACUCUCGCUGUGCUUUUGAUGCAGUGCAGCCAGGCCCAAGCACUUUGUGUGAGGCAAUAGGCAUCCAUCAAGUGGCCGGGGUGAGUGUGCGGCCCAGCAGAGGACCCAGAUGAUGUGCAGGCACUGCGGAGACAAAAAAUGAAGCUGCAAAUUAAAGUGUUGUGACUCCAAGAGGAGUACUACAACUUGGCUUUAAAAAAAUAAAAAUACUGAGUGACUAAUAAAACAGAUUAAUUAAAAGGCACUGUAUAUGUGUAUCUGUGAUUUAU
Molecule: long non-coding RNA, 693 nt
Organism: Epinephelus fuscoguttatus (brown-marbled grouper)
Lineage: Eukaryota; Metazoa; Chordata; Actinopteri; Perciformes; Serranidae
Exons: 3
Source: RefSeq, a predicted model, not a curated record